CGAACGCUGGCGGCGUGCCUAAUACAUGCAAGUCGAACGCACUCUCGUUUAGAUUGAAGGAGCUUGCUCCUGAUUGAUAAACAUUUGAGUGAGUGGCGGACGGGUGAGUAACACGUGGGUAACCUGCCCUAAAGUGGGGGAUAACAUUUGGAAACAGAUGCUAAUACCGCAUAAAACCUAACACCGCAUGGUGUAGGGUUGAAAGAUGGUUUCGGCUAUCACUUUAGGAUGGACCCGCGGUGCAUUAGUUAGUUGGUGAGGUAAAGGCUCACCAAGACCGUGAUGCAUAGCCGACCUGAGAGGGUAAUCGGCCACACUGGGACUGAGACACGGCCCAGACUCCUACGGGAGGCAGCAGUAGGGAAUCUUCCACAAUGGACGAAAGUCUGAUGGAGCAACGCCGCGUGAGUGAAGAAGGUUUUCGGAUCGUAAAACUCUGUUGUUGGAGAAGAAUGUAUCUGAUAGUAACUGAUCAGGUAGUGACGGUAUCCAACCAGAAAGCCACGGCUAACUACGUG
RNAcentral lists this ribosomal RNA (518 nucleotides) under uncultured bacterium. Its description in RNAcentral is "bacterial SSU rRNA". It matches the Rfam family "Bacterial small subunit ribosomal RNA", at positions 30 to 507 of the family's 1533-position model. The record is from RNAcentral.